GCAAGUCGAACGAGACCUUCGGGUCUAGUGGCGCACGGGUGCGUAACGCGUGGGAACCUGCCCAAAGGUGCGGAAUAACUCAGGGAAACUUGAGCUAAUACCGCAUGAUGCCGAAAGGCCAAAGAUUUAUCGCCUUUGGAUGGGCCCGCGUCGGAUUAGCUUGUUGGUGGGGUAAUGGCCCAAGGCGACGAUCCGUAGCUGGUUUGAGAGGAUGAUC
Molecule: ribosomal RNA, 217 nt
Filed under: uncultured bacterium
Lineage: Bacteria
Description: partial 16S ribosomal RNA
Rfam family: Bacterial small subunit ribosomal RNA
Source: RNAcentral